AUGGCGCCAGAGGGGGAGGCAGUUAAAAUCAAUGUGGAUGGUGCAAUCUCGCGGAACGGCAAAAGGGUUGCAGUCUCGGCGAUAAGCAGGGACAAGGACGGGAGGUAUUUGGGCUCUUCAGCUGUCACUUUUGAUGGUUUGGUUGAUGCGGCGAAUCUGGAAGCACUUGCGUGCAGCGAGGCACUAGCUCUGGCAAAGGACCUCAACCUCUCACAUGUGAUCAUAGGUUCUGAUUGUAUGCAAGUGGUCUCGAACAUCAGGGAGAAUGUGCUAUCAUCUUAUGCUGUAGUCAUUAGUGAAAUUAGAGAGUCUAUAAAAGAUUUUGAGAGUGCUAGCUUUAGAUAUGAGUGUGGGGAGGCCAAUGCUGAAGCUCAUGCCAUUGCAAAGGCUGCUUUAGCUCUCCCUUCUGGUCGUCGUUUGUGGCUAGGGAUCCUACCAAACAUCACUUGUAUUCCUUCUGUGUUAUCUUUUGAAUAA
RNAcentral lists this ribosomal RNA (477 nucleotides) under Triticum aestivum (bread wheat). RNAcentral's name for it is "partial small subunit ribosomal RNA". The record is from RNAcentral. Lineage: Eukaryota; Viridiplantae; Streptophyta; Magnoliopsida; Poales; Poaceae.